AAUGGAAAAAUUGAUCUUGAAGGUGGCACUAGUGGUGUAACUUUGGGAACGUUACUUUAUUUUUGAAUCUGUUUCCUCCUCUAUAAAAUAGAAAUUAGAUCUUUACCCCAGGACCAUGCGAUGGCUCUAAGGAAUUGUAAGUCACCAAGCCCAUCAUAAAUAUUCAGGUAUUCUUUGAUUCUUAGACCAAGGAAAUUAACUAGUAGGUCAUGUGACUUAAUUUCUUGAAGAUUACGGUUAGGCAGGAGAAUGAAAAAAUACUACUCACUUUUUGUUGCUUAAAACACGGUGCUAGGUACUUUUAUCUUAUUAAACCUACACAACCUUGGCUGUUACUCCCAUUUCAGUAUGAGGAAACAGGCUUGAAGAAAUCACCCUCCUUUUGACACAGUGUAAAAGUUAGAUGCUUCCCUGUGACUCAUUUCUGGUGUUCCUUCCAUUUGAUUAAUGCCUAAUUUAUUGAACUUGUUAUCCAACUGUAUAGGUGACAUAUCCAUUUUGAUGACUAAUUUUCAGCAUCUCAGACAAGAUGAAAAGCAAGUUUCUGACGUUGCUCCCAAAGCAUACCUUUCCCAGUCUUCCCCCCUCAGUAAAUGACAAUUCCACUAUCCCAGGUGCUAAAACCCAAAACCUCAGUUGUCCUCAACUCCCUCAAACCCCACUCUGACCUUUAACAAGUCCUGACAAUUCCAUCUUCAAAAUCUAUUCAGAAUCUGGACAACCUUUUAUAUUAUUUCCACUAACACUCUGGCCAAGACAACCAGUGACUCUCACUUGUAUUAUCAAAUAUCCUCCUCCUAAGUGGUUCGUUUCUGCCUUGUCCCUCUUCAGUCUAUUUGCACAAAGCUGCCAGAAUGAUCCUGCUAAAAUGGAGGUCUGAUCAAGUCAUCUCUGUUCAAAACCUUCCAAAGGGGAUUCCACUGUGACUCAGAGUAAGAAACAAAGACCCGCGGUGGCUUAAAGGCUCCGUCCAUACUACUGAUCACACUUUCUGUCCCUCCCCAUGUUGCUCACUCCACCGCAGCCACACCAGCCACCUCACGGUGCCCUCUGAGUGAUUCUAACUGCAGACUCCACCCAGGCUCGCUCCCUCACUUCCUUCAGGCUUUUAUCCAAAAGCUACUUUCUCCCUGAGGGCAUCCGUCACCAUCCUGUCUAAAACUUUCAGUCCCUAAUCAUUUGUGUUCUCAUUUCUGCUUUCCUGUUUCUUUUACACUUCUCCCCUGUAUACUACAUACUGUGCUCAUUUAUCUUGUCUCCCCUCACUAGAAUGUAACCUUCAUGGGACAAGAAUUUAGAUCUGCUUUUUCUCUGCUGUAUUCUCGGUGCCUAACACAUGGUGAGCCCACCAUGAAUAUUUGCUGAGAAAAUGAGCUUCUAAAUGUUACUUAUCUUUGCUCCACCCAUUAUGUCCUCCCUGUAAUACCAGAGCAUCCUUUGCAAACACUUAAACUUUUCAAGUUACCACUUGUGCCUGUUAUCAGGUAGAAAAGAACUUCCUUAAAGUUUUCCACACCCUUCUCCAGGCUUUCCAGUCUAUCAUCUGGACGAGUUCUGGGUCACAUGACAAUCUCUAGCACAAUCACUGGCAAAGGGGAUGGGACCACCAUUGGCUGCCAUGGUUUAAGCGUUACUUACUCUCUGUGACUGGGUGUACGGCUGCUGGAGUAAAGUGAGGCUCACCAGGGAGAAGGGAAUGGAUUUUAUAGAGAGAAAUAAGCAUCUGCCCUAUCCACUGAAUCGCAAUGUCACAUCUUUGAUCACAGUUGAGUUUCAUCAUCCUCAUGAGGAAGGAUAGUUGGGCAUUCUGACCAUUUUACAGAGGAGAAAACAAAGCCACAGAGAGAUCCUCCAACAUCAUUCAGUAGAUCAGAGGCUUGACCAGUGUCAUCUACCCAAGUUCUGGGUUCUGGAGAAGCAGCCUGCUUUAGACAAAAAAAAAAAAAAAAAUAGAGUAGAGCAGAAAUCAGAAACUCAGGGACUCAUUUUCACCCUGCACAAAAGAACUAUACGACCUCAAAUAGGUAUUUUGAUCCCUCAGGGCCUCAGUUUCUUCAUCUGUAAAAUGAAAAUAAAUUCCCUUUCUUGCUCAGAGCAGUGUUUGGGCUGAUUAAUCAUUAAGACUCUCUUCUUAUCUGUUGAAUUCCAGCUCAGGCAGAGAAAUAGGAGUGAAUUGUUGGACUUUAAACCCUGUGCUGCCAGAAGAGAAGAAUUAGCUUUCUUUAUAAUGAUCUUUAAAAAAAAAAAUCCCCUAUUGUUCUGAAAAUAAGAACAGAAGGAUGAUCCUUUUAAACCUCAGUCUGUUCCUGAGGAUUUCCUUGCACGGCAUCUCUAAACCCCUUUUGCUCCAACUUUGACCUUUAACAGGUAUUCCUGGCAGGUCGUCUGUUCCUCAUUCAGAACUCAAGUCCGCUGUAAAUGCAUAGCUGGAAGGUUCCAUUGCAGAGCCUCUUCAUGGAGCCAACUGCAGAAGCUUUUGUAGAUUGAGAGCUAUGAAACCCCAGUAUCCUCCUGGCCAGAGUCCUAGUGCACACAGUUGCUAGGAGGCCUUCAUUCCAAAUUCUUCUGUUGGACUUCUCACUCCCCUGCAUUGUUCCCAGUAUGUCACCUGCCUAUGAGAUUCAAGGUUGUUGUUGUUGUGUUUGUUUUUUUUUUUCCUGAGGAGUGGCUUUAUGAGGGCAAUGGGAGGAAGAUGGUUAUUCAGUAAUUUACUGAACCUUGCAUGUUAAGCUUUAUGACCAUAUGAUGAAUUUUCCAACCUUCUAACUUCAAAGACCUAGACUUUUCUCUUCUGCAGUGUCAAAAUUAAUAUUUAAUAACUCCUUACUUUCGGGUGGAAGUUUAAGGUGUUCCAUGUAUUCUCUCAUGUGAUUUUACAAUUAAGAAAAAUUAGGUAACUCUCACAAGAUUAAGCUGGUCAAGAAUGGAACUGAGCUCAGAUCCUCGGAUUACCAGACUGUCUUUUAAGCGUCAUACAUACCAAGUGUUAUAAUUUUGCUGCUUUCACUAAUUGUGCUGCAGAGUUCCUUGAGGGCUUUGGUAAUCAGGGCAGAGGCAGAAGGUUCCACUUCAGUCUGCGCCUGUGUGUUCUGAAUGGUCAGUUUCACUGCAGUCCUCAGGCCCUUCAAAUCACCAGCUGCCUUGUCGCUGUCAUCACCAACCUUUUUUGGAGACAGAUCCAGGGGGCCGAUCUUCUGGACCAGGACAGACUUCCCUACCGGUGCACCUUAGAAUGAUGCCCUUUUCUGACUCAACCCUAAACAGACAGCCCCAGGCUACCUUGCAAGUGCAUAUGAGGAUUCUUCCCCAGCCCCUUGUGGUUGGGCAAGACCACAUGACUUGCUUCAGCCAAUGACUCGUGCACAGAAAUGACCCAUCACCUCCAGUGAGCUGCACUGAAGAGCUGGUGUGGGGGCUUCUCUUUUCUCUGCCCCUGCUGUGAGGAUCGUGGACACUUGUGUUGGUGUGGAGGUGCCCGGACAUGGAAGGUGCCUGAAGUGCUGAGCCAGCGCUUGGAGGACAGGAGCCGGAUGUGAUUGUGCAUCCAGCCAUCAUCUAGCCACCAUGAUGGUUGGUGGCUAACAACUCAGAGUUGCACCCUUCUCAGGAAAAUAGUCCUCAGUUUGUCCCAAGUAUUUGGAUGGCCAACAAACAAUGACUGACGGAUGCAGUGAGGAUACAGAGGCCCAGCCUGCUUGCUUCAAGGCCAGAAGACUUCGUAGUACCAUGUUUGCUCUACAUCUUCCAGUGAGGUCAGGCUGAGGUAAAGCUUCAUUUGAACCCUUGUCUUUACUAGGUUAUCCUGCUGUCUUAGCCUGUUUCCUGCCUUCUUUAGAUUUCACUGAAGAGAACAUCUUUGAUAAGUCAAUUGUAUAGAAAUCUUCAUCUCAGUCAUGGCUUCUAGGGAACCUGACCUAAGACAGCUGAUAAAAAACGAAAUCUUUAAAAAAGAAAAAAGAAUUUGGCUGGUACUAUUUAGCAAGACAAUUAUCGAAGCAAGAGUGGUCACAGAUCACUGGUUAUGAGCAAAAAAAUUGUUUUCUUAAAGCAUACUCUGUUGUUCUCUAUAUACUUAGAGCACAUUUACUAUCAAGAUCUGUAUUGUAUGUUUUUCCUAGAAGUCUGGCUGGCCAUAUCUCCUGAAAGUGUUCGAACUAGACGCUGUUAAUCAAGAAUGCUUACGACAACCAGCGCUCCCUGUGGGAGUGAGAGGAUGGGAAGGGCUCUCCU
Molecule: long non-coding RNA, 4230 nt
Organism: Mustela erminea (ermine)
Lineage: Eukaryota; Metazoa; Chordata; Mammalia; Carnivora; Mustelidae
Exons: 7
Source: RefSeq, a predicted model, not a curated record